This is a long non-coding RNA of Jaculus jaculus (lesser Egyptian jerboa), 607 nucleotides long. RefSeq lists it as uncharacterized. The transcript is spliced from 2 exons. Lineage: Eukaryota; Metazoa; Chordata; Mammalia; Rodentia; Dipodidae. The record is from RefSeq and is a predicted model, not a curated record.
GUGCAGGGGCUCCCAGCAGCCCUGCCAGGAGCCACAGCGGAAGGCGGAGGCUGGAAAGGCACCCUGUGUCCUGAGCUAAACUUUGCUUCUGGUUGCAGUGAGGGGACUAGAGAGAGGGACGGGCUGCAAGAUGUCCUCUCUUCCCCUUGUGCUCCUGGAAAAAUAAAAGGAUCAAACAUCUCAAAAGAAUACUGAAUUAGCAAAGACUUCAGUGGUCACCACUGGUCUUUGCCCCUGCCCUGGGCUCUCUAACCUGGCCCUCCCUCGAAGCAAGACCCGGGGAGGUGAUGCAAACGAAGUGCCCAGGCCAGCACUUGCUGGCGAGUUUGGAAAAAGGGAAUUCGAGAAGACAUGGGAAAAGCUCCGGCCUUGUGACUUUUCUGGUGUUUCGGAGCCGUUCUGUGCCUGACUGGGCAGCAUCUCGAAGCGUCCUCGGGCACCCCGACUCUGCCACCUGUGAAUAGGUACAUUGAUUUGUGGUUGGAAGAUGCCAAGUGCCCAGCCCAGGGAAUUGUCACCUGGGUGGUUGACGCGCGUGUCCUGAGCCCCAUCGAGCGCUGAAGAGAUGUGGUGUGUUGCUAAUAAAUCUGGCAUGUGUCAACAUUCA